RNAcentral lists this unclassified non-coding RNA (783 nucleotides) under Hevea brasiliensis (rubber tree). The record is from RNAcentral. Lineage: Eukaryota; Viridiplantae; Streptophyta; Magnoliopsida; Malpighiales; Euphorbiaceae.
CAACAAGAAUCUCCUAGGCUCGAAACGUAUAUAAAAGAGUUCACAGUAAAUAUACAAGCAUCCAAGAAAUUUUGGUAUAUAAUGACUAUAUGAUACAUCAAGGACAAAUCUCAAACCAAGCAUUUAGAUGACGACAUGCCCAAACAAAUGAUUAAACAUUACCAAACAAAUGAUACAUACAGAAGGUGGAAUUAAGGAAAAAACUAAAUUAACAGCAGCAGGAACAGUGGCAAGCAGCAGCAGCAGUAGUACAGAGUCGCCAACAUCCAACUUCCACUGUAGAAAUCAAAUUUAGUGGUGUUGCCUCCUCCAAUAAUAUGAAACAAAACUAGGCAACAUACACCACAGUUCAAAGCCUCAACAUUAGUGAUAGACCAGAGUAAGUCUCAAAUACGGUCAGAUACGUGCACUGCUAUCCAAUCAAAACCUUUAACUGGAGAGCUGGAACCUCCCACUAGGCUUUUUCCUUCUCCACCCAAAGGCAGCAUAGUAAACAAAUGUCAGACCAGCUAAAACAAUGAAUCCAAUUUGAAACACGUUGUACUUGUAUAGAUACUUAAUUCCACGAAGAGAUUGCAGAUUGUGACCAAAUAUUUCUUGAGCUGCAGUGGCUUGAGCAUAGUAUGCAAAGGCCGUGGCGCAGAACUGAAUGACACUGAUGGAGCAAAGAAGAAUAAGGCCCACAUUGAAAAGAAAGGAGUUCAUGAGCGUAGCUCCCCACUUCAUUGGGUGAAUCGUAACAAAAACUAAUCUCAAGCCAAUCAUCAUAGCUCCGGCAAUCAC